Molecule: ribosomal RNA, 511 nt
Filed under: uncultured fungus
Lineage: Eukaryota; Fungi
Description: SSU rRNA
Rfam family: Eukaryotic small subunit ribosomal RNA
Source: RNAcentral
AGCAGCCGCGGUAAUUCCAGCUCCAAUAGCGUAUAUUAAAGUUGUUGCAGUUAAAAAGCUCGUAGUUGAAUUUCGGAAUCAGUAUGUCGGUCGUGCCUCUGGUAUGUACUGGCGUCACUGGUUCCUCCCUUCUGACGAACCAUCAUGCUAUUAAUUUAGUGUGGUGGGAAAUCAGGACUGUUACUUUGAAAAAAUUAGAGUGUUUAAAGCAGGCUCACGCUUGAAUACAUUAGCAUGGAAUAAUGAAAUAGGACGUUGAUCCUAUUUUGUUGGUUUCUAGGAUUGACGUAAUGAUUAAUAGGGAUAGUUGGGGGCAUUAGUAUUCAAUUGUCAGAGGUGAAAUUCUUGGAUUUAUUGAAGACUAACUACUGCGAAAGCAUUUGCCAAGGAUGUUUUCAUUAAUCAAGAACGAAAGUUAGGGGAUCGAAGACGAUCAGAUACCGUCGUAGUCUUAACCAUAAACUAUGCCGACUAGGGAUCGGAUGAUGUUAAUUUUUUAAUGUACUCAUUC